GAUGAACGCUGGCGGCGUGCCUAAUACAUGCAAGUCGAGCGAACAGACGAGGAGCUUGCUCCUCUGACGUUAGCGGCGGACGGGUGAGUAACACGUGGAUAACCUACCUAUAAGACUGGGAUAACUUCGGGAAACCGGAGCUAAUACCGGAUAAUAUAUUGAACCGCAUGGUUCAAUAGUGAAAGACGGUUUUGCUGUCACUUAUAGAUGGAUCCGCGCCGCAUUAGCUAGUUGGUAAGGUAACGGCUUACCAAGGCGACGAUGCGUAGCCGACCUGAGAGGGUGAUCGGCCACACUGGAGCUGAGACACGGUCCAGACUCCUACGGGAGGCAGCAGUAGGGAAUGUUACGCAAUGGGCGAAAGCCUGACGGAGCAACGCCGCGUGAGUGAUGAAGGUCUUCGGAUCGUAAAACUCUGUUAUUAGGGAAGAACAAAUGUGUAAGUAACUAUGCACGUCUUGACGGUACCUAAUCAGAAAGCCACGGCUAACUACGUG
This 497-nucleotide ribosomal RNA is filed under the name uncultured bacterium. RNAcentral's name for it is "partial 16S ribosomal RNA". It matches the Rfam family "Bacterial small subunit ribosomal RNA", at positions 28 to 507 of the family's 1533-position model. The record is from RNAcentral.